GGACUACCGGGGUUUCUAAUCCUGUUUGCUACCCACGCUUUCGCGUCUCAGCGUCAAUGUCGGUCCAGUUGGCCGCCUUCGCCACGGGUAUUCUUCCCAAUCUCUACGAAUUUCACCUCUACACUGGGAAUUCUACCAACCUCUACCGAAUUCUAGUAAAACAGUUUUGAAUGCAAUUCCCGGGUUGAGCCCAGGGCUUUCACAUCCAACUUGUCAAACCGCCUACACGCCCUUUACGCCCAGUAAAUCCGAACAACGCUAGCUCCCUUCGUAUUACCGCGGCUGCUGGCAC
RNAcentral lists this ribosomal RNA (292 nucleotides) under uncultured bacterium. RNAcentral describes it as "partial 16S ribosomal RNA". The record is from RNAcentral.